AUACGUAGGGCGCGAGCGUUAUCCGGAAUUAUUGGGCGUAAAGGGUGCGUAGACGGCAAUAAAAGUUUCUUGUCAAAUAUCUUGGCUCAACCAAGUAACGCAAGAGAUACUGUAUAGCUGGAGUAUAGGAGAGGUAAGUGGAACUCCAUGUGUAGCGGUAAAAUGCGUAAAUAUAUGGAAGAACACCAGUGGCGAAAGCGGCUUACUAGCCUGAUACUGACGUUGAGGCACGAAAGCGUGGGGAGCAAACAGGAUUAGAUACCCUGGUAGUCCACGCCCUAAACGAUGAGUACUAAGUGUUGGAGCAAUUCAGCGCUGAAGUUAACGCAUUAAGUACUCCGCCUGAGUAGUACGUACGCAAGUAUGAAACUUAAAGGAAUUGACGGGG
RNAcentral lists this ribosomal RNA (388 nucleotides) under uncultured bacterium. RNAcentral's name for it is "partial 16S ribosomal RNA". It matches the Rfam family "Bacterial small subunit ribosomal RNA", at positions 523 to 918 of the family's 1533-position model. The record is from RNAcentral.